Long non-coding RNA from Eleginops maclovinus (Patagonian blennie), 1143 nucleotides. RefSeq lists it as uncharacterized. The transcript has 4 exons. NCBI's taxonomy places the organism in Eukaryota, Metazoa, Chordata, Actinopteri, Perciformes, Eleginopidae. The record is from RefSeq and is a predicted model, not a curated record.
AUUACAAGCAGGUGGGGCUAGAAGUUAUUUAGUGAACCUUACAAAGACAACAACUCAACCAAAAGAAGGAAGACAUGCUCACUGUGGUUAGCAUUAUUGUUUCCAAGAAAGAAUAUUGUUUCAACAAGUCAACUUAGAAAAUGAUGUAAUGCUAGAUGCUACUUAAGGCUAAUGCUAACACAGCCGUGGUCGUACUUCCUGUGUGUGGAUGGAUUUCUGCAUCCAAUGAGAUGCUUAUACCUUCAAUGAGGUCAGGAGCCCAGUGGUACUGAGAGGCUGGCUUAAUGGAGAACGAAUGCUUUAUGAAUGAACAAGCAGAGAGAUUGAAGUUGGAGCAGAUGGUAAAGGACUUCACGGUGGAGACUCCCACAAAGCCAUUUUGACAGGUCCAUUCAAGCUGGACAACCCUUUCUGCUGAAGAACAUCACGUGAAGUCAGAAUACCUGAACACACAUCGACAGCUCGAGGUGCAGUGGCUGCUGUUUUUCUUUCGCUAUGAGCUGGGUCACUGCUGGAUACUGGACAGUCCAUAAUGGAUAGACUGAUAAAAGGAGCAACCAUUUUUAAAUAAGAGAGAAGUAGAUUAAAAGGAAAUCGUUUUUCAGGGAAAGAAUUGCAUCCUAUGGUGAAGCAUCGUCUAAAUCAAUUAUAACAAAGUAAUACGUUCCUGACUUAGCAGGCCAUGCAUGGGUUUGUUUGGAAAGCCUGUGUCCCUACAAUAUGUAUUCAAACAUUGCUUGUAUUCUGCACCAUGCCAAAACAGAAAGUCUUUUUGGAUGUAAUGUCUCAUAUUCAGAGUAUAGCGUUAGAUUGAAAUGUACUUAACAGCCACUGAUUGAAGCUUCUCAACAACUAAUCAUAACUUCAUUAUCAGCUGACUGAAACUAAGGCUAAAACAGUCGCAGUGUAUUGUAUGGGUUCAUGCUUUGUCUGAUUAAUUUUAAUUAAAGUCAAAGGGUCAUUGCCCAAAAUGUGAUGUGAGCUUGUUUUCGAUAAAGUCGUGACUGAGCAUUUUCCUCAGCCCGGAGUUGGCACAGUAUUCAUUCUCACAUUUAAAUGUGUGCAAGCAGAAAUAGACAAAUACUGUCAUUUGCGGCUGGUUACUUCCUCUCUUUCUAAGAACGUUUCCUCCUGUGGCUAAAC